RNAcentral lists this long non-coding RNA (3027 nucleotides) under Nicotiana tabacum (common tobacco). RNAcentral's name for it is "long non-coding RNA (NTAB_LNC018970)". The record is from RNAcentral. Lineage: Eukaryota; Viridiplantae; Streptophyta; Magnoliopsida; Solanales; Solanaceae.
UAAAACUCUAGAAAGACACUUAAAUAAUAUCCCUAGACCUAGACCUAGCUAAAACAAAUAUACCUACAACCUAGAAGAACUCUCAAAAAAAAAAAUCAGCCGCAGUAGCCUAACUGCUUCCUUCUCCGCUCACCUGCCGGAACGUUCUUUUUCGGUGAGAGCAAGGCUCACCACAGCCACCGCCCACUUCCCAUUUUCCCAUUCUCAGAUUCUCAAAUCUAACAGCUCUUUCAUGUUAUUCAUGUGAAGACUAAUGGAAGUCUCAAGUAUUUUCAAAAUCAGUAUGCAUUAAUUCAUUCCUUGUCUUGGAAACUAAAUUCGAUUACGUACGUUAUACCCCUUGAUUUCUGCUACCUCUCUUUCUCAUCAUAAUACAAAUUGUCAAACCAAAGCCAAGCUGUAAGGAAUACACUGGACUUUGAUUUUGAUGAUGAUAAUGAAGAUGAGGACCAUACGUUGGCAAAGUCUGUCUGAUUUACUCUGAAUCAGGAAUUUUAAAAAGCACAAAUGUCGAGGGUUGGUCUGCUUUGUCAGAUAUUUGGAGGUUUUUGGUUUAUCUGAGGUCGAGUUUGGGUGUCGAGUAUUCCGGUGUCGAUUUGAGGUUUCGUUUUGAAAUUUCGGUAUUUCAGUCCGAGGAUUGUUGCCUUGUUUAGCCCUAUUGAUUUGUAAUUUUCAGCUUUGUUCAUCAAUAAAAGGUCCAUUUCUCAAUUUUCAUUCUCAUUUCAUUUUAUUACAAUAGCUUGGUGCGUGUGUUGGUUGAUUUGUGAUUCUCUGUUAUUUGAGUAGCAUGUCUUAGUUUUCAUUUAAAUUGUUUUAAUUAAUUUUUAUUUCGAUUGUGAUGUGUACAGUCUUAGUUAUUGAAUAAAUAUUUUUAAUUGGGUAGAUGAAAAAUAAGAGUUGUUUCUUUCUUGGCAAGGAAUAAGAAUGGACCAUAAGGUGAGUCUUGACCCAUAAGGAAUCUGAGCCAAGUAAUAUAUCAUGUUAGCUAGACUAUUUGCUCAACAAUAAUACCUUGUCCAUAAAUUUGGCAUCACAAAAAUCUUAAAGAUUAGGAAAAUAACUCAAAUGCGCUAGUUGCUUUAGGCGCGAUUAAUAAAAUUAUUGUGAUCACGGGUACGGUUCCCGUGGCGUGAUCAUGAUACGUAAAUUCCAAUUCGGGUGUGCAUUUCAUGUGACCCGACCACAGCUUCGAAUAAUAAUAAUAAAAUAAAUAUGUCGCAAAUCGCGGGUGCAUUUCAUGUAGCGUGGUUUGCAAUAUGUUCCAAAACGGCAAGUGUACGACAAUCGUAACUUGUUCAAGAAAUAAAUCCAUAAAUCCUAAAAGCAGUCUAAAUAAUUAAAAGCGGUUAUAAAGUUAAACAUGUACAAAAGGUUUAAAAUAUGUAAUUAAUCAUACAAUUAGGCCAAUAAUAAUAGUUGAGCGACCGUGCUAAAAUCACGAAACUCGGGAAUGCCUAAUAUCUUCUCCUGGGUUAACAGAAUUCCUUACCCGGAUUUCUGUGUUUUGCGGACCAUAAAUAAGAGUCAAACUUCCUCGUGACGACUCUGAUAAAUAAAUAAAUAAUCCUAUUUCUAUUAAUGUCGCUUAAAUUGGAAAAACUCUCUUAUAUCCCUUUCGGGAUAGAAAAAGGAGGUGCCACAAUAGUCACUUAUGCCUAGGUGUCAACCUAAGCUUAAGAGGGAAUUGAUGAUUAUCAAAACAAGACUUAUACUAGUCUUGUUACAAUUCCAUAUGAAAAAAAUGAGAACCAAAGAAACGUUAUGCAUUCCAAAAAGUAAUUUCGUUCAAAUAAUUUCAUGGUUUGAUGUCUAAGAGCUUCAAAGAAUCAGAAGCAAUUUCAUUCCAAUAUUUCAGGAAUCAGAAGCAAUUUCGUUCAUGAAUUUCUAUGAAGCAGGGGCAAAUUUCGUUCAAGAAAUUCAAAAAAGCAUAAGCUUAAUUCGAUUUUUUUGAGUUCUAAGUUCAAUCAACGAAAGUUUUCCAAUGGAACAUUAUACGGAGUUUUCCCUACUCCGGGUACGUUAAGGCCAUCCCUUCUUUCUUUUAGCAUGGCCCAAAUUAUAUAGAAGAAAUGAGCAAACACACAGUUUCUAUAAAUUACUCUAUUUCAUAAAAAUACUAGGGGUAUCUAUAUUCUUGAUUCCUCAUGAGAAUUAUAAUUAUCUUCUGUUCAUGGGUCUCAGAAUAAUACGCAGUUGAAAAAGUUUAUCCAGAAGGAAUAUUGAGAUUAUUACAUAUUGUUCAUGCAUUUCACCCAUUUAUACACGUGGAUUGACCCAUGACCAUAUGGCGUUAUAUACGCGUAUAUAUGUAAAUAUAUGUAUAUGGGGUAUGGGAAAAGGUUACAGCGUUAUAUACGCACCACCACCUAAUCAGUUGGUAUAUGAUGAUGAUGUUGCCCACAGUGGCCGAGAUGAUAUGAUGGGAUGCCCUCAGUGGAAUGAUGAUGUUAUGUACACCUAUACCCAUGCAUGACACGACAUUUAUAUACACGUGCAUAACACUAUAAAUGUUUCAGAAUUUACAAAGUUAUUUACAUUUACAGAUGGAUUUCUUUAUUCUAUGUUUCAUCUAUGCCUUUUACGUACAGAUUUUCAUGCCUUACAUACUCAGUACAUUUUUUCGUACUGACGCCCUAUUUUACGGGGCCUGCAUUUCAUGCUCGCAGGUGCAAGUAGGUAAGCUGACGGUCCCCCUUUUUAGGAUCCCUGAUCACCGAGAGUUGGCGUGCUCCACUUGGUCCGGAGCUGCUUUUGAUUUUGGUACGAUAUGUUUAUAUAUAUAUGUAUAUGGGUAUGACAUGGCUCAGUCCCGUCUUUGUACAGUUAUAUUUCCAUUAGAGGUAUGUAGACAAUAUGUCUAGUUGGAUAGUUUGUGGCCUUGUCGGCUUACAAUUUUGAGAUGUAUAGUUGUCUAUAGUAGCCUUGUCGGCUCGCCCUUCGUAUGUUGCACGUAUAUGUUUGUAUGUAUUUUUGGGCAGAUUUCCUUCAUGUACAUUAUUCUCGUAAUUUAACAGAUGUUAUUCAGGU